RNAcentral lists this ribosomal RNA (460 nucleotides) under uncultured bacterium. RNAcentral's name for it is "partial 16S ribosomal RNA". It matches the Rfam family "Bacterial small subunit ribosomal RNA", at positions 338 to 795 of the family's 1533-position model. The record is from RNAcentral.
CCUACGGGGGGCAGCAGUGAGGAAUAUUGGUCAAUGGACGCAAGUCUGAACCAGCCAUGCCGCGUGCAGGAAGACGGCUCUAUGAGUUGUAAACUGCUUUUGUACGAGGGUAAACGCAGAUACGCGUAUCUGUCUGAAAGUAUCGUACGAAUAAGGAUCGGCUAACUCCGUGCCAGCAGCCGCGGUAAUACGGAGGAUUCAAGCGUUAUCCGGAUUUAUUGGGUUUAAAGGGUGCGUAGGCGGUCGGAUAAGUUAGAGGUGAAAUCCCGAGGCUCAACUUCGGAAUUGCCUCUGAUACUGUUUGGCUAGAGAGUAGUUGCGGUAGGCGGAAUGUAUGGUGUAGCGGUGAAAUGCUUAGAGAUCACACAGAACACCGAUUGCGAAGGCAGCUUACCAAGCUUCUUCUGACGUUGAGGCACGAAAGCGUGGGGAGCAAACAGGAUUAGAUACCCGGGUAGUC